AUUGAACGCUGGCGGCAGGCCUAACACAUGCAAGUCGCACGAGAAAGGGCUUCGGCCUGAGUAGAGUGGCGGACGGGUGAGUAAUGCGUAGGAAUCUGUCUGGUAGUGGGGGAUAACGCGGGGAAACUCGCGCUAAUACCGCAUACGCCCCGAGGGGGAAAGCAGGGGAUCUUCGGACCUUGCGCUAUCAGGUGAGCCUACGUCGGAUUAGCUAGUUGGUAGGGUAAAGGCCUACCAAGGCGACGAUCCGUAGCUGGUCUGAGAGGAUGAUCAGCCACACUGGGACUGAGACACGGCCCAGACUCCUACGGGAGGCAGCAGUGGGGAAUAUUGGACAAUGGGGGCAACCCUGAUCCAGCCAUGCCGCGUGUGUGAAGAAGGCCUGGUUCGUAAGACGACUUCUAGCAGGA
Molecule: ribosomal RNA, 410 nt
Filed under: uncultured bacterium
Lineage: Bacteria
Description: bacterial SSU rRNA
Rfam family: Bacterial small subunit ribosomal RNA
Source: RNAcentral